Molecule: long non-coding RNA, 1615 nt
Organism: Dermochelys coriacea (leatherback sea turtle)
Lineage: Eukaryota; Metazoa; Chordata; Testudines; Dermochelyidae
Exons: 3
Source: RefSeq, a predicted model, not a curated record
GGGGUAGAGACCACCAGGCUCCCACGCUCAGGGGAAUAAGGGCGCUCUCCCGCCCCCCUCCGCCGGAGCUGGCAGUGGUACCGGGGGGGGGGGACUCACCGCGCUGCCCCCGGCUCCCUCGUCCUCGCUCCGCGCGGCGCUGGGCUCGUCCUGCAGUAGCUGCUCCAGGCAGGUGGAGCCGGGCAGAGAGGAGCUCUUCUGGUGGGACAGGACCCCUGCCUCAUUUAGUACACAGGAUGGACCUGCUAUGGGGAUGAAUCUGUGAAGGUUGUGCAGUGAAGAAGAUUCUUGUCUGAAGGGCCACCUCUCAUUUGUUGCAGAGGUUGAAAGAAUUCUUCGUACCUCAGUGGCUUCUCCACUUAAUAUAUGAAAACAUCACUGAAGAGGAGCAUGGUUACAUUGCAAUACGCCACUUUGAAAAUAAACCCCUUUACUGUCGGAUCAUACUGCAAAUCUUCACAUUUAGAGUUCCUUCAGGGCUUCCUCAAAUGGAAUUGCACAGAGUUCUUACUCAUAUGAGGUGAUGACCCCUCUCACCUCCAGUUGAAGUUAAACAUUGUUGUACAGCCAUGCAGAUUCUUCUGUUUCCUCUCACAUCCUAAAAAUAUCUGCCACCUCGAGAGGGGUGAUCAAAAUUAAAAAGAGCCAAGGCCUACUGGUGCAAGGCCUACUGGUGAGAGAUGAAGAACUUGGAGUCAUUUGAAGGAUCGCAUAUGGAAGUGAACUUUUUAUUUGUUAAAGGUUUUAUUUAUUGAUAUUUCAGGUCAUUUAUGUGUUGGGGUUCCCCUGCUCCCAGCCUCUUUGCUUCCCAUAAAUGACUCAGGGAUUCUCCCUUUUGUAGAUACCAUUUUAUAGUUUAUUUACAGUGUUUCACUCAAUCACCUUUUACAAACUAGUGCAGUCUCAGUAUUUACAAUGCUAUUCAGCUUUACUACCCCUUCUACAAAAAGGAGCGGGAGUGGCAGAAAGGUGUCUCCUCCCAGAGAACUCCCUUUUGUGAGGCCCCACUAGACUUCUCCCAUUCCACUUCUCCCCCCAACCUUCUCCUGUGCUCUUUAAUUCAGUUUCCUUGUUAAUGGGUAAUUAGCUCAUUAUAUUUCCAGCCCUAAUCUGUUCUGGAAAUUAGGACCUCCUCUCCUUCAUCAGGAAGGGGGAGGGGGAGCUAACUGAUUAAAGUGCACAGAGUGUUGGUUUAGUGGCUAAUUCCCAGUACUCUGUCACAAUUAACAAUAAAACAUUUCAACUACAGUGUUUUAGGGAGGCAUAGCUCAGUGGUUUGAGCAUUGCUUCCUAAACCCAGGGCUGUGAGCUCAGCCAUUGAGGGGGCCAAAAAUUGGGGAUUGGUCCUGCUUUGAGCAGAGGGUUGGACUAGAUGACCUCCUGAGGUCCCUUCCAACCCUGAGAUUGUAUGACAUAGAAGUACAUACUUAGCUAUAUAAUAAAAUUUCAGGAUUGUCACCUGUCUGUGUAAUGCUGAAGCAUAGAAUCUCUGUUGAAUCAGUGGGAAGUGAUGGAAACAGCUACAAGCAUGACUGAGAACUCUUUAUGCUCAGAAUAUCACCAGGUUCAAUCAUCAGUUGGUAUUUGUUUGAUAUUUUACUGUCCAAUUUUUAAG